RNAcentral lists this ribosomal RNA (330 nucleotides) under uncultured eukaryote. RNAcentral describes it as "partial 18S ribosomal RNA". It matches the Rfam family "Eukaryotic small subunit ribosomal RNA", at positions 1470 to 1796 of the family's 1831-position model. The record is from RNAcentral.
CCCUUAGAUGUUCUGGGCCGCACGCGUGCUACACUGACCGGCGCAACAAGCUUUUUUCCUUGGCUCGACAGGCCUGGGUAAUCUUCGAACGCCGGUCGUGAUGGGGAUAGAUCCUUGCAAUUUUUGAUCUUCAACGAGGAAUUCCUAGUAAAUGCGAGUCAUCAUCUCGCGUUGAUUACGUCCCUGCCCUUUGUACACACCGCCCGUCGCACCUACCGAUUGAAUGGUCCGGUGAAUCUUUAGGACUGUGGCUGAGGCCUUGCCUUGUGCGGGUCUGGCCGUGGGAAUUUAGUUAAACCUUACCAUUUAGAGGAAGGUGAAGUCGUANCA